RNAcentral lists this long non-coding RNA (302 nucleotides) under Elaeis guineensis (African oil palm). Its description in RNAcentral is "long non-coding RNA (EGUI_LNC008734)". Lineage: Eukaryota; Viridiplantae; Streptophyta; Magnoliopsida; Arecales; Arecaceae. The record is from RNAcentral.
AGAGAUCACUUAGAUUUCUAAUCAAUCAUCAAUGAUUGUCUCGAUGCUAUAGUUAUAUGAAUGAUCUUUUGACCUAUGAUGACACGAUUGUUCGUAGUAAGACUGUUGGAGUUUGACUGACAUAUAAACAUGACCUCAAUGAGAUCUUGUAGUGGAUGUUGGCGAUAGUUAAUCCACUGUAGGAGUAGGGUGUGUAUCUAGAUGAAAUCGAAAUCUAUCGAUCUUGAUCGAAAGAAGUAGUUCUAUAAGUUUGAGAGGCUGAGUCUGAGAGUAUGGCCACAGUAGUACGAUUAAUGAAAAAG